UACAGAGGUCCCAAGCGUUGUUCGGAUUCACUGAGCGUAAAGGGUGCGUAGGUGGUGAGGUAAGUCGGAUGUGAAAGCUCGGAGCUCAACUCCGAAAUGGCAUUGGAAACUACCUUGCUCGAGGGUUGGAGGGGGGACUGGAAUUCUCGGUGUAGCAGUGAAAUGCGUAGAUAUCGAGAGGAACACCAGUGGCGAAGGCGAGUCCCUGGACAACUCCUGACACUGAGGCACGAAAGCUAGGGGAGCAAACAGG
Molecule: ribosomal RNA, 253 nt
Filed under: uncultured bacterium
Lineage: Bacteria
Description: partial 16S ribosomal RNA
Rfam family: Bacterial small subunit ribosomal RNA
Source: RNAcentral